UACGUAGGGGGCAAGCGUUGUCCGGAAUUAUUGGGCGUAAAGAGCGUGUAGGCGGCCAGAUAAGUCCGCUGUGAAAUCUCGAGGCUCAACUUCGAGCUGUCGGUGGAAACUAUCUGGCUAGAGUCCGGAAGAGGAGAAUGGAAUUCCUGGUGUAGCGGUGAAAUGCGUAGAUAUCAGGAGGAACACCGGUGGCGAAGGCGGCCCUCUGGACGGUGACUGACGCUGAGACGCGAAAGCGUGGGGAGCAAACAGG
RNAcentral lists this ribosomal RNA (253 nucleotides) under uncultured bacterium. Its description in RNAcentral is "partial 16S ribosomal RNA". It matches the Rfam family "Bacterial small subunit ribosomal RNA", at positions 524 to 776 of the family's 1533-position model. The record is from RNAcentral.